CCCUAGUAACUGCGAGUGAAGCGGGAAAAGCUCAAAUUUAAAAUCUGGCGGUCUUAGGCUGUCCGAGUUGUAAUCUAGAGAAGUGUUAUCCGCGCUGGACCGUGUACAAGUCUCCUGGAAUGGAGCGUCAUAGAGGGUGAGAAUCCCGUCUUUGACACGGACUGCCAGGGCUUUGUGAUGCGCUCUCAAAGAGUCGAGUUGUUUGGGAAUGCAGCUCAAAAUGGGUGGUAAAUUCCAUCUAAAGCUAAAUAUUGGCGAGAGACCGAUAGCGAACAAGUACCGUGAGGGAAAGAUGAAAAGAACUUUGGAAAGAGAGUUAAACAGUACGUGAAAUUGCUGAAAGGGAAACGCUUGAAGUCAGUCGCGUUGGCCGGGGAUCAACCUUGCUUUUGCUGGGCGUACUUCCCGGUUGAUGGGUCAGCAUCAAUUUUGACCGUUGGAUAAAGGUUAGGGGAAUGUGGCAUCUUCGGAUGUGUUAUAGCCCUUGGUCGCAUACAACGGUUGGGAUCGAGGAACUCAGCACGCCGCAAGGCCGAGUAUUUAUACUACGUUCGUGCUUAGGAUGCUGGCAUAAUGGCUUUAAUCGACCCGUCUUGAAACACGGACCAAGGAGUCUAACAUGCCUGCGAGUGUUUGGGUGGAAAACCCGAGCGCGUAAUGAAAGUGAAAGUUGAGAUCCCUGUCGUGGGGAGCAUCGACGCCCGGACCAGACCUUUUGUGACGGCUCCGCGGUAGAGCAUGUAUGUUGGGACCCGAAAGAUGGUGAACUAUGCCUGAAUAGGGUGAAGCCAGAGGAAACUCUGGUGGAGGCUCGUAGCGAUUCUGACGUGCAAAUCGAUCGUCAAAUUUGGGUAUAGGGGCGAAAGACUAAUCGAACCAUCUAGUAGCUGG
Molecule: ribosomal RNA, 891 nt
Filed under: Galerina perplexa
Lineage: Eukaryota; Fungi; Basidiomycota; Agaricomycetes; Agaricales; Galerinaceae
Description: partial large subunit ribosomal RNA
Rfam family: Eukaryotic large subunit ribosomal RNA
Source: RNAcentral